This 466-nucleotide ribosomal RNA is filed under the name uncultured bacterium. RNAcentral's name for it is "bacterial SSU rRNA". It matches the Rfam family "Bacterial small subunit ribosomal RNA", at positions 330 to 793 of the family's 1533-position model. The record is from RNAcentral.
UCCAGACUCCUACGGGAGGCAGCAGUGAGGAAUAUUGGUCAAUGGGCUUACGCCUGAACCAGCCAAGUCGCGUGAGGGAAGACUGCCCUAUGGGUUGUAAACCUCUUUUGUCAGGGAGCAACGCCGGCUACGUGUAGCCGGACUGAGAGUACCUGAAGAAAAAGCAUCGGCUAACUCCGUGCCAGCAGCCGCGGUAAUACGGAGGAUGCGAGCGUUAUCCGGAUUUAUUGGGUUUAAAGGGUGCGUAGGCGGCCUUUUAAGUCAGCGUUAAAAGCCGGGGGCUCACCCCCGGCGAGCCGUUGAAACUGGCUGUCUUGAGAUGUCGAGAGGUAUGCGGAAUGCGCAGUGUAGCGGUGAAAUGCUUAGAUAUUGCGCAGAACUCCGAUUGCGAAGGCAGCAUACCGGCGGCGAUCUGACGCUGAGGCACGAAAGCGUGGGUAUCGAACAGGAUUAGAUACCCGAGUAU